CGCUAGCUACAGGCUUAACACAUGCAAGUCGAGGGGCAGCAUGGUCUUAGCUUGCUAAGGCCGAUGGCGACCGGCGCACGGGUGAGUAACACGUAUCCAACCUGCCGUCUACUCUUGGACAGCCUUCUGAAAGGAAGAUUAAUACAAGAUGGCAUCAUGAGUCCGCAUGUUCACAUGAUUAAAGGUAUUCCGGUAGACGAUGGGGAUGCGUUCCAUUAGAUAGUAGGCGGGGUAACGGCCCACCUAGUCUUCGAUGGAUAGGGGUUCUGAGAGGAAGGUCCCCCACAUUGGAACUGAGACACGGUCCAAACUCCUACGGGAGGCAGCAGUGAGGAAUAUUGGUCAAUGGGCGCAGGCCUGAACCAGCCAAGUAGCGUGAAGGAUGACUGCCCUAUGGGUUGUAAACUUCUUUUAUAAAGGAAUAAAGUCGGGUAUGGAUACCCGUUUGCAUGUACUUUAUGAAUAAGGAUCGGCUAACUCCGUGCCAGCAGCCGCGGUAAUACGGAGGAUCCGAGCGUUAUCCGGAUUUAUUGGGUUUAAAGGGAGCGUAGAUGGAUGUUUAAGUCAGUUGUGAAAGUUUGCGGCUCAACCGUAAAAUUGCAGUUGAUACUGGAUAUCUUGAGUGCAGUUGAGGCAGGCGGAAUUCGUGGUGUAGCGGUGAAAUGCUUAGAUAUCACGAAGAACUCCGAUUGCGAAGGCAGCCUGCUAAGCUGCAACUGACAUUGAGGCUCGAAAGUGUGGGUAUCAAACAGGAUUAGAUACCCUGGUAGUCCACACGGUAAACGAUGAAUACUCGCUGUUUGCGAUAUACGGCAAGCGGCCAAGCGAAAGCGUUAAGUAUUCCACCUGGGGAGUACGCCGGCAACGGUGAAACUCAAAGGAAUUGACGGGGGCCCGCACAAGCGGAGGAACAUGUGGUUUAAUUCGAUGAUACGCGAGGAACCUUACCCGGGCUUAAAUUGCAGAUGAAUUACGGUGAAAGCCGUAAGCCGCAAGGCAUCUGUGAAGGUGCUGCAUGGUUGUCGUCAGCUCGUGCCGUGAGGUGUCGGCUUAAGUGCCAUAACGAGCGCAACCCUUGUUGCCAGUUACUAACAGGUUCCGCUGAGGACUCUGACAAGACUGCCAUCGUAAGAUGUGAGGAAGGUGGGGAUGACGUCAAAUCAGCACGGCCCUUACGUCCGGGGCUACACACGUGUUACAAUGGGGGGUACAGAGGGCCGCUACCACGCGAGUGGAUGCCAAUCCCAAAAACCUCUCUCAGUUCGGACUGGAGUCUGCAACCCGACUCCACGAAGCUGGAUUCGCUAGUAAUCGCGCAUCAGCCACGGCGCGGUGAAUACGUUCCCGGGCCUUGUACACACCGCCCGUCAAGCCAUGGGAGCCGGGGGUACCUGAAGUGCGUAACCGCGAGGAGCGCCCUAGGGUAAAACUGGUGACUGGGG
This 1442-nucleotide ribosomal RNA is filed under the name uncultured organism. Its description in RNAcentral is "SSU rRNA". It matches the Rfam family "Bacterial small subunit ribosomal RNA". The record is from RNAcentral.